CCUACGGGAGGCAGCAGUGGGGAAUUUUGGACAAUGGGCGCAAGCCUGAUCCAGCCAUGCCGCGUGCGGGAAGAAGGCCUUCGGGUUGUAAACCGCUUUUGUCAGGGAAGAAAAGGUUCUGGCUAAUACCUGGGACUCAUGACGGUACCUGAAGAAUAAGCACCGGCUAACUACGUGCCAGCAGCCGCGGUAAUACGUAGGGUGCAAGCGUUAAUCGGAAUUACUGGGCGUAAAGCGUGCGCAGGCGGUUAUGCAAGACAGAGGUGAAAUCCCCGGGCUCAACCUGGGAACUGCCUUUGUGACUGCAUAGCUAGAGUGCGGCAGAGGGGGAUGGAAUUCCGCGUGUAGCAGUGAAAUGCGUAGAUAUGCGGAGGAACACCGAUGGCGAAGGCAAUCCCCUGGGCCUGCACUGACGCUCAUGCACGAAAGCGUGGGGAGCAAACAGGAUUAGAUACCCUGGUAGUCCACGCCCUAAACGAUGUCAACUGGUUGUUGGGAGGGUUUCUUCUCAGUAACGUAGCUAACGCGUGAAGUUGACCGCCUGGGGAGUACGGCCGCAAGGUUGAAACUUAAAAGUAGUAAUUGACCGGNGNGAGAGNGACGACGACGACGACGAGGGAGGAGG
This 625-nucleotide ribosomal RNA is filed under the name uncultured bacterium. RNAcentral describes it as "bacterial SSU rRNA". It matches the Rfam family "Bacterial small subunit ribosomal RNA", at positions 338 to 951 of the family's 1533-position model. The record is from RNAcentral.